CAAAACAUUGUUAUAGCUCACUUACUGCACAGUUUGUUCAUGAAUAAAUAACGCACAGAGAUUUGGAAUAAACAUAGGGAAGUUCAGAGGAAAACAAGAUAUAGGAGGAUGAAAUAAGUGACGAUGUGUGACAUGCUGUUACAGUUAGGUAAGCACGGCAGCACCUUAAGUACUCAUAGGCGGGCCAUGCUCAUCUAUGUUUACAGUCAAACUGUGUCUCAAGGGAUGGGUGCCCCCGACAGAGGCAGCAGAAUAGAGGAGGACUCGAUUGUGCUUUAAUAGCCAAUUGGGUUCUUGAGAGGUCGCUAAGCGCUGCUGUUCACUGUUUGUGUUGUCAGGGAAAAAGCCUUUUGUCAGAUUAUUGUUGAGGAGUAUUUGGUUUUAAUGCACCACUGGCGUCUGCUUGCCUCUGCCUCGAUGCACGCGAGAAACCAAUAUGUUUUGAUCAUCCACUGGCUUCAGGGACGGUGGAACGGUAGAGGACUGGUUAGCACAUCUGCCUCACAGUUCUGAGGACCAGGGUUCAAAUCCUGGCCCCGCCUGUGUGGAGUUUGCACGUUCUCCCCGUGCCUGCGUGGGUUUUCUCCGGGCACUCCGGUUUCCUCCCACAUCCCAAAAACAUGCAUGUUCAGGGUGUACCCCGCCUCUCGUCCGAAGAUAGCUGGGAUAGGCUCCAGCACACCAACGACCCUUGUGAGGAUAAAGCAGUACAGAAAAUGGAUGGAUGGAUGGCUUCAGGGGCUGGUUUACUGGUUCAGGACAGGACAUCAUCACAUCACAUUAUAAUUCAACUGUGGCCAACAAUAAAUGAUUCUGGACAAUA
Molecule: long non-coding RNA, 823 nt
Organism: Phyllopteryx taeniolatus (common seadragon)
Lineage: Eukaryota; Metazoa; Chordata; Actinopteri; Syngnathiformes; Syngnathidae
Exons: 2
Source: RefSeq, a predicted model, not a curated record